AACGAACGCUGGCGGCAUGCCUAACACAUGCAAGUCGAACGAGACCUUCGGGUCUAGUGGCGCACGGGUGCGUAACGCGUGGGAACCUGCCCUUAGGUUCGGAAUAACUCCCCGAAAGGGGUGCUAAUACCGGAUAAUGUCUUCGACCAAAGAUUUAUCGCCUUUGGAUGGGCCCGCGUUGGAUUAGCUAGUUGGUAGGGUAAAAGCCUACCAAGGCGACGAUCCAUAGCUGGUCUGAGAGGAUGAUCAGCCACACUGGGACUGAGACACGGCCCAGACUCCUACGGGAGGCAGCAGUGGGGAAUAUUGGACAAUGGGCGAAAGCCUGAUCCAGCAAUGCCGCGUGAGUGAUGAAGGCCUUAGGGUUGUAAAGCUCUUUUACCCGGGAUGAUAAUGACAGUACCGGGAGAAUAAGCUCCGGCUAACUCCGUG
This 432-nucleotide ribosomal RNA is filed under the name uncultured bacterium. RNAcentral describes it as "partial 16S ribosomal RNA". It matches the Rfam family "Bacterial small subunit ribosomal RNA", at positions 29 to 507 of the family's 1533-position model. The record is from RNAcentral.